This 1290-nucleotide long non-coding RNA is filed under the name Felis catus (domestic cat). Its description in RNAcentral is "lncRNA (ENSFCAG00000047128.1)". Lineage: Eukaryota; Metazoa; Chordata; Mammalia; Carnivora; Felidae. The record is from RNAcentral.
GGCGGGUGCGCGGGUUGCGCACCUGGGGGUGGAGUGGGAGCAAAGAAUGAGGGAGGACCCCCACAUCCCCGGCUGCGGUGGGAGGACCCGCCCAGACCUCCACGGCUUGCGGGGACCCGAGGCCACAACGGGGUGGGGGUUGUGUUGAAGGACAGUCUCGGGGAUGGACAGUCUCCACUGUCUGGACAAAGGCCACACGCGGGUGGCUCCGCCCGCACCCCUUGGGGCAGCGCGCAUGCGGCGCGGAGCCAGAGCAGCGGGUUCUGGCCUCGCGGGGGCGCCGAGAAGCGCGGUGGUGACACAGUGCAGACCCCGCCCCCGCAGCCCGGACCCGGGGGACCGUCCCCUCCCGCCCCACCCCGGCCGCCUGGCGGAGCAGCUGGCGCGGGGGACGGGGACGCGGAUGCGACGCGGGGCCUAAUUCCGGCGCCGGGACCCGGUGGCCGCUCGACCCUCCUCCCGGGCCCCGCCGUCCCCUCGGAGCCCCCGUCCCCUGCCUCCCCGCGCGCCCGGACCCCGCCGCGCGGCCUUACCCGCCUCGGGCCUCGGUGGGAACCGCGGGCUGGAGGGGCCGCUCCGGGGGCCGCGGCGGAGCGGGAAGGAGCCGGCUGCGGCCGAGACCCUGCACCGGCGCGCCGCGCCCCGAGUUUGCGCGAGGCCUCCGCCCCAGGAUUGGGGGCGGGCAGACGCGGAGGCUCAUCCCCCGGGCGACGGGAAGGGAGGAGAAAACGGCAGUCGGAGGCGCGCGCGGCCCCUCUCCCUUCCCAGCACCCUCCUGCUCGCUGCACACCGUCCCCCGUCUCCUCACCCCACCCCCUCCCGAUUCCACACGCGUGCGCCCACUCUACCUCCAGCACCCAGUGCGCACCCGGCCCAACCGAGCCGCCGCCUCCCGCCUUCCCCCUCCCCCUCCCCCUCCCCCUCCCCCUCUCCCGUUCUGCCCCAGGUGAUGUGUCCCGGACGCGGGGACCACGGAAUGCUGUGGCAGGCCCUGAGCUCGAGAUCUUGGUGUCCAGGGCUCUCCACGGGGAGGCCCAGAGAGGAGAGGAUGGCUCUCCAGGUCCCCAGGGUGCCUCUUCUUCCCGCCCUCACGGUGGCCACCCCACAGCAAGGUCACUUGGAGCCCCACUGCCCCAGCCAGCCGGCCUUUCCAGUCCCUGCUGGGUCCGGCUCUGGGGCUUGAAAGGGUGCUAUCUUGCUGUCCAGGUCUGUCUCGCGCCUACGACCUCUUCCCCUCCCAACCGGGCUUUUACCCCAGCCACUCCACUUGGGGACACCAGGCCCUCUUGA